GACGUAGGUUGCAAACGUUAACCGGAAUUAUUGGGCGUAAAGAGUUCGCAGGUGGCUUUUUAAGUGAGAUGGUAAAGGCCGAAGCUCAACUUCGGGAAGGCAUUUUAAACUGGCUCGCUAGAGGAAGGUAGAGGCAAGUGGAAUUCUGUGUGUAGGGGUGAUAUCCGUAGAUACACAGAGGAACUCCAAAGGUGAAGACAGCUUGCUGGGCCUUUCCUGACACUCAAGAACGAAAGCGUGGGGAGCAAACAGG
Molecule: ribosomal RNA, 253 nt
Filed under: uncultured bacterium
Lineage: Bacteria
Description: partial 16S ribosomal RNA
Rfam family: Bacterial small subunit ribosomal RNA
Source: RNAcentral